ACAUGCAAGUCGAGCGAACAGAAGGGAGCUUGCUCCCGGAUGUUAGCGGCGGACGGGUGAGUAACACGUGGGUAACCUGCCUGUAAGACUGGGAUAACUCCGGGAAACCGGAGCUAAUACCGGAUAGUUCCUUGAACCGCAUGGUUCAAGGAUGAAAGACGGUUUCGGCUGUCACUUACAGAUGGACCCGCGGCGCAUUAGCUAGUUGGUGGGGUAAUGGCUCACCAAGGCGACGAUGCGUAGCCGACCUGAGAGGGUGAUCGGCCACACUGGGACUGAGACACGGCCCAGACUCCUACGGGAGGCAGCAGUAGGGAAUCUUCCGCAAUGGACGAAAGUCUGACGGAGCAACGCCGCGUGAGUGAUGAAGGUUUUCGGAUCGUAAAGCUCUGUUGUUAGGGAAGAACAAGUGCGAGAGUAACUGCUCGCACCUUGACGGUACCUAACCAGAAAGCCACGGCUAACUACGUGCCAGCAGCCGCGGUAAUACGUAGGUGGCAAGCGUUGUCCGGAAUUAUUGGGCGUAAAGGGCUCGCAGGCGGUUUCUUAAGUCUGAUGUGAAAGCCCCCGGCUCAACCGGGGAGGGUCAUUGGAAACUGGGAAACUUGAGUGCAGAAGAGGAGAGUGGAAUUCCACGUGUAGCGGUGAAAUGCGUAGAGAUGUGGAGGAACACCAGUGGCGAAGGCGACUCUCUGGUCUGUAACUGACGCUGAGGAGCGAAAGCGUGGGGAGCGAACAGGAUUAGAUACCCUGGUAGUCCACGCCGUAAACGAUGAGUGCUAAGUGUUAGGGGGUUUCCGCCCCUUAGUGCUGCAGCUAACGCAUUAAGCACUCCGCCUGGGGAGUACGGUCGCAAGACUGAAACUCAAAGGAAUUGACGGGGGCCCGCACAAGCGGUGGAGCA
RNAcentral lists this ribosomal RNA (904 nucleotides) under Bacillus sp. 106B3_12AMannit. RNAcentral describes it as "bacterial SSU rRNA". It matches the Rfam family "Bacterial small subunit ribosomal RNA", at positions 53 to 939 of the family's 1533-position model. Lineage: Bacteria; Bacillati; Bacillota; Bacilli; Caryophanales; Bacillaceae. The record is from RNAcentral.